UACGAAGGGGGCUAGCGUUGUUCGGAAUUACUGGGCGUAAAGGGCGUGUAGGCGGAUCAAUUAGUUAGGGGUGAAAUCCCGGGGCUCAACCUCGGAACUGCCUCUAAUACUGUUGAUCUAGAGAUUGUGAGAGGAUAGCGGAAUACCCAGUGUAGAGGUGAAAUUCGUAGAUAUUGGGUAGAACACCAGUGGCGAAGGCGGCUAUCUGGCGCAAUACUGACGCUGAGGCACGAAAGCGUGGGUAGCGAAAGGG
Molecule: ribosomal RNA, 253 nt
Filed under: uncultured bacterium
Lineage: Bacteria
Description: partial 16S ribosomal RNA
Rfam family: Bacterial small subunit ribosomal RNA
Source: RNAcentral